This is a long non-coding RNA of Sinocyclocheilus rhinocerous, 157 nucleotides long. RefSeq lists it as uncharacterized. NCBI's taxonomy places the organism in Eukaryota, Metazoa, Chordata, Actinopteri, Cypriniformes, Cyprinidae. The transcript is spliced from 3 exons. The record is from RefSeq and is a predicted model, not a curated record.
CAUGCACAUGCCCAGCUUUCACUCUCACAUCAGGACGUCCCAAGGGCAUCGAAGCGAGACGAGAUGACUCACCAUUGCACCAAGUUCUCUGGCCAUUGGAAGAUCAUCGUGUACGACGAGGAGUGUUUCCAGGUUCCAGGGUCGUCACCAUGAGUUC